GUGACUGCGUACCUUUUGUAUAAUGGGUCAGCGACUUAUAUUCUGUAGCAAGGUUAACCGAAUAGGGGAGCCGAAGGGAAACCGAGUCUUAACUGGGCGUUAAGUUGCAGGGUAUAGACCCGAAACCCGGUGAUCUAGCCAUGGGCAGGUUGAAGGUUGGGUAACACUAACUGGAGGACCGAACCGACUAAUGUUGAAAAAUUAGCGGAUGACUUGUGGCUGGGGGUGAAAGGCCAAUCAAACCGGGAGAUAGCUGGUUCUCCCCGAAAGCUAUUUAGGUAGCGCCUCGUGAAUUCAUCUCCGGGGGUAGAGCACUGUUUCGGCAAGGGGGUCAUCCCGACUUACCAACCCGAUGCAAACUGCGAAUACCGGAGAAUGUUAUCACGGGAGACACACGGCGGGUGCUAACGUCCGUCGUGAAGAGGGAAACAACCCAGACCGCCAGCUAAGGUCCCAAAGUCAUGGUUAAGUGGGAAACGAUGUGGGAAGGCCCAGACAGCCAGGAUGUUGGCUUAGAAGCAGCCAUCAUUUAAAGAAAGCGUAAUAGCUCACUGGUCGAGUCGGCCUGCGCGGAAGAUGUAACGGGGCUAAACCAUGCACCGAAGCUGCGGCAGCGACGCUUAUGCGUUGUUGGGUAGGGGAGCGUUCUGUAAGCCUGUGAAGGUGUGCUGUGAGGCAUGCUGGAGGUAUCAGAAGUGCGAAUGCUGACAUAAGUAACGAUAAAGCGGGUGAAAAGCCCGCUCGCCGGAAGACCAAGGGUUCCUGUCCAACGUUAAUCGGGGCAGGGUGAGUCGACCCCUAAGGCGAGGCCGAAAGGCGUAGUCGAUGGGAAACAGGUUAAUAUUCCUGUACUUGGUGUUACUGCGAAGGGGGGACGGAGAAGGCUAUGUUGGCCGGGCGACGGUUGUCCCGGUUUAAGCGUGUAGGCUGGUUUUCCAGGCAAAUCCGGAAAAUCAAGGCUGAGGCGUGAUGACGAGGCACUACGGUGCUGAAGCAACAAAUGCCCUGCUUCCAGGAAAAGCCUCUAAGCAUCAGGUAACAUCAAAUCGUACCCCAAACCGACACAGGUGGUCAGGUAGAGAAUACCAAGGCGCUUGAGAGAACUCGGGUGAAGGAACUAGGCAAAAUGGUGCCGUAACUUCGGGAGAAGGCACGCUGAUAUGUAGGUGAAGUCCCUCGCGGAUGGAGCUGAAAUCAGUCGAAGAUACCAGCUGGCUGCAACUGUUUAUUAAAAACACAGCACUGUGCAAACACGAAAGUGGACGUAUACGGUGUGACGCCUGCCCGGUGCCGGAAGGUUAAUUGAUGGGGUCAGCGCAAGCGAAGCUCUUGAUCGAAGCCCCGGUAAACGGCGGCCGUAACUAUAACGGUCCUAAGGUAGCGAAAUUCCUUGUCGGGUAAGUUCCGACCUGCACGAAUGGCGUAAUGAUGGCCAGGCUGUCUCCACCCGAGACUCAGUGAAAUUGAACUCGCUGUGAAGAUGCAGUGUACCCGCGGCAAGACGGAAAGACCCCGUGAACCUUUACUAUAGCUUGACACUGAACAUUGAGCCUUGAUGUGUAGGAUAGGUGGGAGGCUUAGAAGUGUGGACGCCAGUCUGCAUGGAGCCGACCUUGAAAUACCACCCUUUAAUGUUUGAUGUUCUAACGUUGACCCGUAAUCCGGGUUGCGGACAGUGUCUGGUGGGUAGUUUGACUGGGGCGGUCUCCUCCUAAAGAGUAACGGAGGAGCACGAAGGUUGGCUAAUCCUGGUCGGACAUCAGGAGGUUAGUGCAAUGGCAUAAGCCAGCUUGACUGCGAGCGUGACGGCGCGAGCAGGUGCGAAAGCAGGUCAUAGUGAUCCGGUGGUUCUGAAUGGAAGGGCCAUCGCUCAACGGAUAAAAGGUACUCCGGGGAUAACAGGCUGAUACCGCCCAAGAGUUCAUAUCGACGGCGGUGUUUGGCACCUCGAUGUCGGCUCAUCACAUCCUGGGGCUGAAGUAGGUCCCAAGGGUAUGGCUGUUCGCCAUUUAAAGUGGUACGCGAGCUGGGUUUAGAACGUCGUGAGACAGUUCGGUCCCUAUCUGCCGUGGGCGCUGGAGAACUGAGGGGGGCUGCUCCUAGUACGAGAGGACCGGAGUGGACGCAUCACUGGUGUUCGGGUUGUCAUGCCAAUGGCACUGCCCGGUAGCUAAAUGCGGAAGAGAUAAGUGCUGAAAGCAUCUAAGCACGAAACUUGCCCCGAGAUGAGUUCUCCCUGAC
This 2241-nucleotide ribosomal RNA is filed under the name Escherichia coli. Its description in RNAcentral is "bacterial LSU rRNA". It matches the Rfam family "Bacterial large subunit ribosomal RNA", at positions 593 to 2819 of the family's 2925-position model. The record is from RNAcentral. Lineage: Bacteria; Pseudomonadati; Pseudomonadota; Gammaproteobacteria; Enterobacterales; Enterobacteriaceae.